This 281-nucleotide long non-coding RNA is filed under the name Ananas comosus (pineapple). RNAcentral's name for it is "long non-coding RNA (ACOM_LNC006126)". The record is from RNAcentral. Lineage: Eukaryota; Viridiplantae; Streptophyta; Magnoliopsida; Poales; Bromeliaceae.
UUUUUGUAACAUUAAAGGCUACUUAUAUGGGAAAAUGGUAAUUUAACUUUGGAUAUGGGAGAAUGGUAAUAUAGUCCGGCUGGGAUACUAUCGAUAACACCAAGCGUUUGAUGCUAUCGAGUUUUUCGCCGUUAGAUUUAACUAUUUGACUAUUUUCACUCGUUAGAUUAUACUAUUCAACCAAUAACUCACUCAAUAUCAAUAAAGCUCGUUUCUUUUUUUGUCGCAUUUUUUGGCAAACACAUAAUUAAAUUUUUUUACUGAAUAACUAGUUCUAACAU